Long non-coding RNA from Micropterus salmoides (largemouth bass), 1026 nucleotides. RefSeq lists it as uncharacterized. The record is from RefSeq and is a predicted model, not a curated record. The transcript is spliced from 2 exons. Lineage: Eukaryota; Metazoa; Chordata; Actinopteri; Centrarchiformes; Centrarchidae.
ACACUUUACUUUAAAAAUACUUUAUGACAUCCAGAUCAGGAGUUAACAGCAUAAAGUAAAAGCAGGGAUCUUGUAUUUAAUAUUUAACGUAUAAAGUAUUCCCUCCAGACAGACAUAUGAUAUUUCCUCAGUAAGUGCAGCAGUCGUUGUGAACGAGUUUAACUGUUGUUGGUGCCUCCGUCUGUGAGCUGUGAAGCGGUUUCUCUUUUCUAAGCUGUCAAUUCAUGUUGUCAGUGAGUGGGUAAAACACAACAGUAAUGACCACAGAGAAGGAGUAAUUAAACUUAAAAUUAAGACUGUUUGGAAAAACUACGGAGAAGAACAUUAUUGCUCUCAUCACACUCUCAGAUGAAAGAACACCUAAAAAAUCUCUCUUUUUUUUAAAAUGUGCCAGAAAUGAAAAGAAUCAGCCUGUUUACUUCUUUUUUGAAAUCCAACAGACUCAGGAAACUCAGAAGAAACACGAACAACACAUGAUGAGCUACGAAGGUCGUGUACACUGCAGUAUGAAAGAACCUACCAAACGUGAUGUCAUGGAUACACCUGGGACAGCUGCCAGCUCUGGUCUAAAGGAGUGAGGACGCCCCCCUGGUGUCUCAUGCUGAGUACAACAGCUCCCUCCCUCCCCCACAUCACAAACUAAACACAGUCAGAUCCUGUUGGACUAAAUCCAUUUAUUUUUUCUCUUCUAAUCAUGUUUUCUCCACUAUGAUUGUGUUUGUGCUUGUAUGAAUAGACGUGUCUUAUAUAUCCACCAUGAUGUCACAAUGUUGAAGCUGUUGGGAAACUAAAGUGAACUCAUUAUAAAGGAGUUUAGCCUGGAGGGGGGUUGAAACCUCUUCCUGUGUUCUGAGAGUGUUAAUAAUAUAUCUUAAUAUCUUUCUCAAUAAUAAAGAAGAUUCAGUUAAUGUGUGUUGUAUCAAAGUCCUAUAAGAGCUGAGGACAGACUGCCUCUCCUCAGUCACACCUGUGUAAUGCUGAUGAUGCUCUGACCUGCAAACAAUAAAGAUCUGCUGACAUUAUGAA